UACGUAGGGUGCAAGCGUUGUCCGGAAUUAUUGGGCGUAAAGAGCUCGUAGGCGGUCUGUUGCGUCGGCUGUGAAAACCCGGGGCUCAACCCCGGGCCUGCAGCCGAUACGGGCAGACUAGAGUUCGGCAGGGGAGACUGGAAUUCCUGGUGUAGCGGUGAAAUGCGCAGAUAUCAGGAGGAACACCGGUGGCGAAGGCGGGUCUCUGGGCCGAUACUGACGCUGAGAAGCGAAAGCGUGGGGAGCGAACAGG
This 253-nucleotide ribosomal RNA is filed under the name uncultured bacterium. Its description in RNAcentral is "partial 16S ribosomal RNA". It matches the Rfam family "Bacterial small subunit ribosomal RNA", at positions 524 to 776 of the family's 1533-position model. The record is from RNAcentral.